This 346-nucleotide ribosomal RNA is filed under the name uncultured bacterium. RNAcentral's name for it is "partial 16S ribosomal RNA". It matches the Rfam family "Bacterial small subunit ribosomal RNA", at positions 338 to 681 of the family's 1533-position model. The record is from RNAcentral.
CCUACGGGGGGCAGCAGUGAGGAAUAUUGGUCAAUGGGCGCGAGCCUGAACCAGCCAAGUAGCGUGAAGGAUGACUGCCCUACGGGUUGUAAACUUCUUUUAUAAAGGAAUAAAGUGAGGCACGUGUGCCGUUUUGUAUGUACUUUAUGAAUAAGGAUCGGCUAACUCCGUGCCAGCAGCCGCGGUAAUACGGAGGAUCCGAGCGUUAUGCGGAUUUAUUGGGUUUAAAGGGAGCGUAGAGGGGUUGUUAAGUCCGUUGUGAAAGUUUGCGGUUCAACCGUAAAAUUGCAAUUGAUACUGGCAGUCUUGCGUACAGUUGCGGUAGGCGGAAUUCGUGGUGUAGCUG